This 497-nucleotide ribosomal RNA is filed under the name uncultured bacterium. RNAcentral describes it as "partial 16S ribosomal RNA". It matches the Rfam family "Bacterial small subunit ribosomal RNA", at positions 28 to 507 of the family's 1533-position model. The record is from RNAcentral.
GAUGAACGCUGGCGGCGUGCCUAAUACAUGCAAGUCGAGCGAACAGACGAGGAGCUUGCUCCUCUGACGUUAGCGGCGGACGGGUGAGUAACACGUGGAUAACCUACCUAUAAGACUGGGAUAACUUCGGGAAACCGGAGCUAAUACCGGAUAAUAUAUUGAACCGCAUGGUUCAAUAGUGAAAGACGGUUUUGCUGUCACUUAUAGAUGGAUCCGCGCCGCAUUAGCUAGUUGGUAAGGUAACGGCUUACCAAGGCAACGAUGCGUAGCCGACCUGAGAGGGUGAUCGGCCACACUGGAACUGAGACGCGGUCCAGACUCCUACGGGAGGCACCAGUAGGGAAUCUUCCGCAAUGGGCGAAAGCCUGACGGAGCAACGCCGCGUGAGUGAUGAAGGUCUUCGGAUCGUAAAACUCUGUUAUUAGGGAAGAACAAAUGUGUAAGUAACUAUGCACGUCUUGACGGUACCUAAUCAGAAAGCCACGGCUAACUACGUG